RNAcentral lists this ribosomal RNA (338 nucleotides) under uncultured Trinematidae. RNAcentral's name for it is "bacterial SSU rRNA". The stretch from base 128 to 338 matches the Rfam family "Eukaryotic small subunit ribosomal RNA", at positions 746 to 955 of the family's 1831-position model. Lineage: Eukaryota; Cercozoa; Imbricatea; Euglyphida; Trinematidae. The record is from RNAcentral.
GAUUUCUGUCUUUACAGGUCUGGCCCGCCCUAGCAAUAGUGUGAGUGCUGAUUCUGUUGAGGACAUCCUUGUACAAUUCGCAGGUGGUGGUAUUCUUCUUAACUGAGGGGUGCUAUUAUUUGCUGUACAUCAUUUACUUUGAAUAAAUUAGAGUGUUUCAAGCAGGCUUUUCAGCUAUGAAUACAUUAGCAUGGAAUAAUAAACUAGGACUUCGAAUCUUAUUUUGUUGGUUUCUAAGAUUGAAUGAAUGAUUGAUAGGGAUAGUUGGGGGUGCUAGUAUUCAACGGCCAGAGGUGAAAUUCUUGGAUUCGUUGAAGACUAACUUAUGCGAAAGCAUU